Molecule: ribosomal RNA, 31 nt
Filed under: Sabal rosei
Lineage: Eukaryota; Viridiplantae; Streptophyta; Magnoliopsida; Arecales; Arecaceae
Description: partial 18S ribosomal RNA
Source: RNAcentral
GAACCUGCGAAAGGAUCAUUGCCGAGACCCA